AGACCAUGAUGAGGACAAUGCCAAAGUAAUGCUUCUAUCUUUCCCAAGCCUCAUACAAUGACUCAGAAUCUUGCUGCAUAGAUGAUGUAAUAUCAUUCCUCAUUUU
RNAcentral lists this small nucleolar RNA (106 nucleotides) under Theobroma cacao (cacao). Its description in RNAcentral is "Plant small nucleolar RNA R71". It matches the Rfam family "Plant small nucleolar RNA R71". Rfam says of the family: R71 is a member of the C/D box family of snoRNAs containing the C (UGAUGA) and D (CUGA) box motifs. Multiple nearly identical copies of this snoRNA have been identified in Arabidopsis, and it is thought to function as a 2'-O-ribose methylation guide for 18S ribosomal RNA. Lineage: Eukaryota; Viridiplantae; Streptophyta; Magnoliopsida; Malvales; Malvaceae. The record is from Rfam by way of RNAcentral.